This 75-nucleotide transfer RNA is filed under the name Dehalococcoidia bacterium. Its description in RNAcentral is "tRNA-Pro". It matches the Rfam family "tRNA". From Rfam's summary of the family: Transfer RNA (tRNA) molecules are approximately 80 nucleotides in length. The record is from RNAcentral. Lineage: Bacteria; Bacillati; Chloroflexota; Dehalococcoidia.
CGGGGUGUGGCGCAGCGGUAGCGCGCCUGUUUUGGGAACAGGAGGUCGGCGGUUCGAUCCCGCCCACCCCGACCA